Pelobates cultripes (western spadefoot toad) is the source of this 203-nucleotide non-coding RNA. The record is from the annotation of a GenBank genome assembly. Lineage: Eukaryota; Metazoa; Chordata; Amphibia; Anura; Pelobatidae.
AUUAGCAGACUCGCCCAGUAAAUAUAAAAUAUAAAUAAGUGUAAACCCUCUAGGAGCACCCGUUACAUAAGUAUAUAUUUUAGAACAGUUUUUUAACGAGGGACACACAAGUGCAGAGAAUGUAUGUAGACUUUGAAAUUAUUCUGUUAUAUUGGUAGGUGAACCUCAUAGGAAUAAUAAAACAAAUACAAUGUAUUUCUAAU